Long non-coding RNA from Hyla sarda, 578 nucleotides. RefSeq lists it as uncharacterized. Lineage: Eukaryota; Metazoa; Chordata; Amphibia; Anura; Hylidae. The transcript has 3 exons. The record is from RefSeq and is a predicted model, not a curated record.
UCGCAGAACAUGAAUGUGCUUACUAAGGGGACAGCUGAUUGAGAAGACUUAAAUAAUCAGGGGUGGCCAGCCGGCGGGGCCCAACCUCCUGCUCGGGACUCCCUGAAUUCAGAAGGGGAACUUCGCCAGCCAAUAUUUUGGUAACCACAGCAUCGAUUAUAAUCUACAGUUAAACCCAUGAUGGAAAUCCAUGGAAUGACCCUUACGGUGUAUUACCCGAUAAAUGUGACGUUGUGGUUGCUUAUACAGAGCAGCUGGUAACAGUAUAGAGAAGAAGAGUCAACAAAAGUGUAUGCCUUCUUUUUUAGGUCCGGCCACGGGUUCACACCUUGUACAUUUUCUGCAGAAAUUCUAUGGGGAAAGGCUGCAGCAGUUACAGUAGCAAAAAAGUGGACGUAAAAAAAAAAAAUCUGAUUUAUUACAGAUUGUCCCGAUUGACUUCAUUUGGGAAAUGUAAAACUACAAUAAAUAAAUGCAGUGUUGUGGAUUUGACUACAGAAAUGCUUCUUCUUCUAUUUUAUUUGCAUAAUUUAUUGCACAAGAAUGAGCAGCUUAAAAUUCAAACCACAAUCGGCAGA